CAACAAUUGGCGCCUCAAGUGGUCAUACACUUGUGACAUAUACUGUGCUGUUUACUUUAAAACAGCGGUAGCAGAAUUCCUUUAUCGGCUUAUCUAGCCUUACUUCGUAAACAUACAACAUCAUGUGAUUGGCUUGGUUUGAAUUUCCAAAAUCAUUCCGGGGCAUUUGGGAUCAAGUUGAUGGUAAUAGUCUGUUAUGCAAUUGCAUACAAACGCAUUUCAUUAUUCUGUUGCAGUCAUGAAGAUACUCUUUAUUUUACUGGUCUUCCUUGAAUUAGUGGAAGUAAAAUCUUAUAAACUGCCAGAGAAAAGAUUGAAUUUAAUGUCAGAAAAAGAGAUUGCUAAAUGUUUUUGCAAUGGUCGGCAUACAUGCUGUCCUUCUUUGUUUGGUCAUAAUUACUACUGUUGUAUUUUUGAAAAUGGAAGAUGUUGCGGGGACGGGACAUGCUGUCCCUAUGAUGUUAGAUGCGGUGAACCAUAUCAAUGUCUGGGGCCGCAUAAUAUGACCAACAAAUAAAUUGAAACGAUUUGCAUGCGCAUGUCGAGUGGAUUUUUUUACAUAAACUCCUGGCCGCGCUGACUUUAUUGAAGAUUUUUUCGUUUUUCCUUCGGUAAAUUUUGUUAAAAGUUCGUGUGGAUGUUUUAUAAUAAGAAAAAUUAUAACAUACGCAAAAUAGAAGAAAAUCUACCAUUAGGUUUAUAUGUAGCUGAAAUUCUUAAAUACCUCAAAAAAUUAUUACAUAGAAUUGUUUUAAUGUUAAACAUAAUGCUUCUUGAAUGAAUAAAAAUCGUCACGCAAAAAAUCAGAAAAACUCACCAAACCGAAAAAAAAAUACGAACAAUUCAUAAAAAACUAGAAGGUGAAAGUGUAAAAGAAAAUGAGACCUGGUUGCCAUAGCAACGCAAACAGUUAUCUUAUUUUAGCAUCUUCAGUCUUUACUGGCAUUCUUCAAUAUUCCCUCAUAGUUCAUACUUCCAAAGUUUGAGUGUAUUUGAUCCAAAUGAUUUUGUAAUUUAAGGCUACCCGAAACACCCGAAUCUCGGGUGAACUGUAGGGAGCCUCCUUAAGUAUAAAAGCUCAUUUUAGAUAAUAUAGCGUGUUAAAGUAGCAAAGUCUUUUCAUUUCUUUUUUUAAGAAAUUUAUCUGAUUAUAGUACAAACAAUAUAUCAAAUAUCAAAUAAUGA
Molecule: long non-coding RNA, 1185 nt
Organism: Xenia sp. Carnegie-2017
Lineage: Eukaryota; Metazoa; Cnidaria; Anthozoa; Malacalcyonacea; Xeniidae
Exons: 2
Source: RefSeq, a predicted model, not a curated record